AAACCAGCACCUCAAGUGGUCAGGAUGGUUAUUGGGCCUAAAGCAUCCGUAGCCGGCUCUGUAAGUUUUCGGGUAAAUCUAUACGCUCAACGUACAGGCUGCUGGGAAUACUGCAGAGCUAGGGAGUGGGAGAGGUAGACGGUACUCGGGAGGAAGUGGUAAAAUGCUUUGAUCUCUCGAUGACCACCUGUGGCGAAGGCGGUCUACCAGAACACGUCCGACGGUGAGGGAUGAAAGCUGGGGGAGCAAACCGGAUUAGAAACCCCAGUAGUCC
This 274-nucleotide ribosomal RNA is filed under the name uncultured bacterium. Its description in RNAcentral is "partial 16S ribosomal RNA". It matches the Rfam family "Archaeal small subunit ribosomal RNA", at positions 473 to 747 of the family's 1478-position model. The record is from RNAcentral.